UACGUUGGGUGCAAGCGUUGUCCGGAAUUAUUGGGCGUAAAGAGCUCGUAGGCGGUCUGUCGCGUCGGCUGUGAAAACUCGGGGCUCAACCCCGAGCCUGCAGCCGAUACGGGCAGACUAGAGUUCGGUAGGGGAGACUGGAAUUCCUGGUGUAGCGGUGAAAUGCGCAGAUAUCAGGAGGAACACCGGUGGCGAAGGCGGGUCUCUGGGCCGAUACUGACGCUGAGGAGCGAAAGCGUGGGGAGCGAACAGG
Molecule: ribosomal RNA, 253 nt
Filed under: uncultured bacterium
Lineage: Bacteria
Description: partial 16S ribosomal RNA
Rfam family: Bacterial small subunit ribosomal RNA
Source: RNAcentral